GCCAAAUUUGUUCAUUACAUAUUCAUGUGAAUGUCAUACUACUGAUUGUUGAACUGAGAUACUUACAUAGAUUAACAUUUCCAUAUGUGGGAGUGAUAAUUACAUAGAUUUACAUACUAUUUUAAAUUAGACAAAAAUAUAUGCAUUUUUCAUGCUUGGAUCUUCUGGACCAUCUUUGAUCAAAAUCACCUGUUACAUUCAAAAUGAGGGAUUAAAUGUCAGCACAGAAUCACAUUAAGUUAUACAACACAUGAUAUAUCUGUUAGCAAGUCUAGGAUCUAUAAAUAAUACAAUCUAACUUUACAAUAGGCACUAAACACAGCAGCAAAAAAUGUAACGCUAAUAAUAGAAGCACUGUAAAUCGUAUGGCUAAGACAUUUAACUUUCAACAAACUUACAUAUUUUUUCCUUCUGAACAACAACAUACCCAGUGCAAUUUCACAGGUGGGGCCUGGUGAGGGUAGGAAUUUUAUAAGAAAAGGUUAUAGGAAGAUUU
RNAcentral lists this long non-coding RNA (496 nucleotides) under Solanum tuberosum (potato). RNAcentral's name for it is "long non-coding RNA (STUB_LNC000768)". The record is from RNAcentral. Lineage: Eukaryota; Viridiplantae; Streptophyta; Magnoliopsida; Solanales; Solanaceae.